GCACAUUUGUUCUUGUAAAAUAUUUCUUAUUUACAGGUCAAGGUUGCUCACUUCGUAAGGUUCCGGAUGACGACUUGUAUCACACUCAGUAUUGUACCUGCUCUGAGGGAUUAGAAUGCGAAAAAUAUCCUUACAAUGAUUAUGGAAUUUGCCGGGAAUAUGGCGAAAAGAAAGAUCUGCCUCAGUGAAUUUAAAAAAAUAAGCAUUCGAUUUCACGAAUUAAACUUUUGUAAUCACACAAAAGGAAUGCAUUUUAUAACCAUUUAUUUUACAAAAUUGUCAAAACUCGCUGACAACAAGAUAGUAAUUGCUUUUCAAAGAAUCGACCACAAUAAAUAUUCUUGAUCAAUUAG
Long non-coding RNA from Parasteatoda tepidariorum (common house spider), 353 nucleotides. The record is from RefSeq and is a predicted model, not a curated record. Lineage: Eukaryota; Metazoa; Arthropoda; Arachnida; Araneae; Theridiidae.